UCUAGAAAACGAGUGCAGGUGAGACCUUUGGAAGUCAUCUUGUCUGUCCCUGCCCCACAGCAACAGCAGCCAGAUGGAUGUAGCUUCUAAAGCAACAACAACAACUUUGUUCAAACAUCCAGAACGUUAAGCUGAAGCAGUAAAAGGAAAUCAAGAAAAAGAUACUACAGCUUCUACAUCAGGAGAUUCGUAAGACCACAGGCUCGUUUUCAAGGAGUGUGGCUGACUCUCAAUUGCUGCAGAUGUUUAAAGGCUGAAGUUGUGGAGGUAGUGCUUAAUACUAUGGCUCUUUGUCCUCCUGAUGGAAAAAUCCAGAUGGAAAGAAGUGUGGUUCACAGGGAAAUGAUCGUGUAAGUGGAAUUAAUCUUUCAGAUACUGUAACGUGAAAUCUGAUCUUCCUUUUUGCUAAGAAGACCCAAUCUGUGUCUCUACAUUUUGGUCAGAAUCCGAUGCUAAGAGAACCCAGGAGUCUCUUGAGGUAGAGCUGAAAGCCUUGU
Molecule: long non-coding RNA, 497 nt
Organism: Aquila chrysaetos chrysaetos
Lineage: Eukaryota; Metazoa; Chordata; Aves; Accipitriformes; Accipitridae
Exons: 3
Source: RefSeq, a predicted model, not a curated record